Molecule: non-coding RNA, 92 nt
Organism: Cristinia sonorae
Lineage: Eukaryota; Fungi; Basidiomycota; Agaricomycetes; Agaricales; Stephanosporaceae
Source: the annotation of a GenBank genome assembly
GUCUCUGUGGCUCAGUGGUAGAGCAUGCGAUUGCAACGAGCUCACAGCUUGUAACCAUCGCAGGGUCCCGUGUUCGAACCACGGCAGGGACU